CCAAACAGAGUGCAAGUGACAUUUGAAUUGACUUUGCUAAAAUAUUACUGAUCAACUGAACCUCUCAUUUCACACCAUUGAGCAAACUUUGUUGGCAAUGUCCACAAUUGCUUAAAAUUUUUCAGAUUUAAGAGUUGAUGAAGAAUUUUAUGAGUUUAUUGUAUCAAAGCAAGAGGGGCUUAGAUGCCGGUGUCUAAAAGCAAUC
This 205-nucleotide long non-coding RNA is filed under the name Nicotiana benthamiana. RNAcentral describes it as "long non-coding RNA (NBEN_LNC001874)". Lineage: Eukaryota; Viridiplantae; Streptophyta; Magnoliopsida; Solanales; Solanaceae. The record is from RNAcentral.